GAAGGGGGCGAGCGUUGUUCGGAUUUACUGGGCGUAAAGGGCGCGCAGGCGGCUAUCUUUGUCAGGCGUGAAAGCCCCGGGCUUAACCUGGGAAUGGCGCUUGGGACGGGGUGGCUAGAGAUCGGGAGAGGAGAGUGGAAUUCCCAGUGUAGAGGUGAAAUUCGUAGAUAUUGGGAAGAACACCGGUGGCGAAGGCGGCUCUCUGGACCGAUACUGACGCUGAGGCGCGAAAGCGUGGGGAGCAAACAGGAUUAGAUACCCUGGUAGUCCACGCUGUAAACGAUGUGUGCUAGACGUUGGGGAGCCUAGCUCUUCGGUGUCGCAGCUAACGCUUUAAGCACACCGCCUGGGGAGUACGGCCGCAAGGUUA
RNAcentral lists this ribosomal RNA (370 nucleotides) under uncultured bacterium. Its description in RNAcentral is "bacterial SSU rRNA". It matches the Rfam family "Bacterial small subunit ribosomal RNA", at positions 527 to 896 of the family's 1533-position model. The record is from RNAcentral.